UUGUAAUGCUUUUUUUAUUAAUAUUUGAAAAAACUGUGGCAUUCUCAUAUUAAAGAGACCCAGGGUCCACCCUUCUCUUGGCUCAUUUAAGGGCUAGCCUUCAAUGGGAGAACGUCUUCUGGGCAAUGGCUACUUUCUGAGAAGAAGUGUUUUGUAGUCAGAAACUGAAUCACUGCUUAGAUGAUUUCCAAAGCAGAUUAAGUUGUAACAGGAGGAUCAACAGUACCUUCCUCUACAAUUUUCAAGCUCUACAUGUUGUAACUACAAGCAUAUCUUAGUCACAGAAUCAGCAAGGUUGGAAAAGACCUCCAAGAUCAUCUAGUUGAACUAUCAAAUCAUCAUCUUCAGAUGACUGAUGCUUUCAGCAAAGGUUCCUGUUGAAUACUCAAGGAUAACAAACUGAAAAUAUGUAAAGAAAAAGGAAUAUUGAAAAAAAAAAAAGUGUUUCUAUCCUCAACUAUAUUUGAAAUAAUUUCUUCCUUUGAAAUGGAAUCAGUGUCAUAUGAGGAAAACCCUUCCUGACAUUUCUUUGAAACGGAAAAGGGAGGGGAGGAGAGGAGAGCCAAUUUACUAAAAUGAAAAUUGUUUUAGUGUUCUCAGGUUCUGAUGUGUUCUGAUACGGGUUGAUAAAUCAUAAUAAUUCUAGGAACCCACCACAAAGAGUGGAAAAGGCCCAAGUCUUUCUGACCACAGCUGAAAAAAUGUACUUGUGCAAUUAAAACAUACUUUACGAAAAGAAAAUUACAAACAGUGCAGAACAUGGCAACAAAUCAUGACAAUGUGACAAUGUAUAUAAAACAAAAAUAUUGACUGUGUAUAUAUAGAAUGAAAUUAAAAACUCUUAUCAAAUGUGAAACAUAUAAAAAGUAAAAUUCAAUAAUCUCUAUCAGGAAUUUUUCUACCAGUUAUUAUUUUAUUGAAGUUCAGCAGUGAAUUUUUAAGUAGAAUUCAGAUAGGAACCCGUAGAUGGGAACAUGUGCCUCAUCAUAAUCCAAGUAAGGUCCAAGGGAGCAUCUGGCUGGAGAGCGGAUUUGCAGCAGAGGACAAGGAGUGCUGGUGAACAAUGAGGUGAGAAACAACCAUAAAGGUACCCUUGUAUUAAGAAAGGCCAGCAGACUCUUCAGCUUCAUGAGGGGGAGUCUUGCCUGCAGAUGAAGGGAAAUAAUUGUUUUCUCUGUUCAGCACUUGGUGGGACACACCUGGAGUCCUGGAUCCAGUUCUCAGCUCUCCAGUGUGAGAAAGGCAUGACCAUGUUGGACCGAGUGAAGGGCCACAAACAUGAUGAAAGAACUGGAGAAUCCAUCAAGGCUGAGAGAGCUGGCACUGUUCAUCCUAGGGGAGAAAAGAAUUUUUUUUUUCUCCUUCCUAAUGAGAGAGUGAUCUGAGACAAGCUUUGAGAUGUUUCAGAGUCUCUAACCUCAGAAAUAUUUGAAAUCCAACUAGAUAUGGUCCUGAUAAAACUUGGAGUCAGGCUUGUACUACAUGAUAUCCAGAGGUUCCUUUCUCUCUCAGCUAUUCUGUGAUUGUGUGGUACAACACUGUCCCAAAAGUGUCAGUUUUAAACAAGACCCUGACACUUGGAAGGACUUGUACAGGCUGCAUGAGACUUUGAUGCCAGUUGGAAAAUUUUACAGCCUAAACUGUACUCCAUCUUGGUUUUAAAAAUAAUCUUUUUUCUUAAAAAAAUCUCAGGAGAUUUUUAGAAUACAGUACAAGAAGUUCAUACAUGCUGAGAAGGGAUUGGCAAAAUUAUUUGCGAAUUUCAGUGAAACAAUGCAUCAGGUAGUACUGUGUGAUGCUGCUUCUGCUACUAUGUUUGAUGCUGAGAAUUGUUCAGUACAUGUUAAUAGACCUUUGUGAUCACAUUCUGUUUUCUUUGUUGAAACUGAGGGUCUUUCUUCAUUCCUUAGGGUGUUCUCUCUUUGUUCCCUGGUCUUACUAAUCUUUACCAAAAUUUCACAGUGCAGAAAGGCACUUACUACUCAUUUAUAUGGCAUAAGCAUUCCUUUAAAAAUAAAUAUAUAUAAUUUAUUUAUACAUAAAGCACAAUAUCCCACAUUCACACAAACACACAGAGAGCAUAGUCUUUUUUUUAAUACAUAUUUGAAAGCUUAAACUAGUGUCUGAACAGCUGAGUAACUUUAAUGCUGCAUGCAAAUCAGCUUAAAAAGUAACAAACCUCCGAAAAAUGUAAUAAAAGCCGAUAGUGGCUCAAAUUCUAGAUCUGAUAUGAACUCUCACUGUUCAGAAAACUGCAUUAAUUGUCUUUUAUUUUUAGAAAAUUCACUACAAUAACUUAAAAAGGAGAUGCAUUCUUUAUCAUUGUGGCAUAUCCAGGAAUUUCAUUUUUAUCCUAUAACUAUUCUUUUGGGAACAUGCAGUGAACCAACAAGGCAAAGUUCAUUUCACAAACUUGACAAAGUAGGACAGUGACCUACAAAUGACAAAUUCUAAAAAAAAGAGGCAUGGUUCCAGUUUUCUAUUUACUUGUCUACUUGUUUUUAUAAUUCUGAGAAAAAUAUAAGUUUGAUGUGAGUGCUGGCCAGCAAAAAUAAAACUGGGUGUGCAAGUGAUAUAUUUUAAUGUUCAAAGCUUAUUUCACUUAUUUGCAAGGAAUAUGGAAUUUCUACUUGUUUGAAAAUAAAACAUGAGGCAUUCAACUUUACUUAUGCUGCAGUUUAGAAAUGUACAGGAAAAAAUGCUCAUUUUAGUGUUAAAAAUGUUUGAAUUUCUCUGCACUAAUUCCAGUAUAAUUUGAAUAUGGAUUAAAAUUCUGACAAAUAAAAGAACUGAAACCAAUCUUUACUUAAUAGUAAAGAUUUUAUUGGUGUCCAAAACAAUUAGCUAUCCUUGAAUAACUUGGUAUUUUUCUCUAAAAAAUCUGGAGACUAGAAAAUGUUAAUUUUCCAUUUAUUAGGUACAAGCAAGUCAUCUUUGCCUACUGCUUUCCCCUAAGCUUUUGUAAAGUAGUAUGAAGAAUGAGAACGAGAAAUCAAGAUACUCCAAUCGAAAAGCUCACCAUCUGAACAUAUAUCCAAGAAUGUAAAUUGCACACUGAGCUUUUUUUGUCUUGUCUAAUCAGCCAGAUGACUAAAACUUACAAAUACGAAAUUACUAUGAAUAGCAAAUUUUUAUGGCUGUUCUCCUAACUAACCUAUAAAAACAUAGCACAUUAUCAUGAUAAAUGAUCUUCAGGCGUUUGGAAUAUGAUGAGCACUUGUUUAAAAAAAUGUGUGUUUUAAAGUUUG
RNAcentral lists this long non-coding RNA (3248 nucleotides) under Gallus gallus (chicken). Its description in RNAcentral is "lncRNA (ENSGALG00010006583.1)". Lineage: Eukaryota; Metazoa; Chordata; Aves; Galliformes; Phasianidae. The record is from RNAcentral.